Long non-coding RNA from Daktulosphaira vitifoliae (grape phylloxera), 705 nucleotides. RefSeq lists it as uncharacterized. Lineage: Eukaryota; Metazoa; Arthropoda; Insecta; Hemiptera; Phylloxeridae. The record is from RefSeq and is a predicted model, not a curated record. The transcript has 4 exons.
AUUUACUUGAUUUUAACCUAUUUCAGAUAUUAUUAACAUUUUUAAAUCUAAGAGAGAAGUGUAGUGAAGCCAAGAAAUGAAAAGUGAUAAAAUUAGCAGAAAUCACCUUUCAUGUCGUAACAUUUUCUUAGUAAAUAUUCUUAUUACUUUUGUAUGUUGCUAUUUGAAUCAAUAAAGUUGAAACCUUUAUAAGGUAUUGUGAUUCAAUUGUUGACAAAUGACUCAAGAGGGCAACUGACUAGGAAUUCUUAUCCAAUAUUCAACAAUAAAGGGAGGAUAGAACAUAAAUAUGUACGUUUCGUGGUAAUUUGAUGUUUUGGUGAUCAAGUAGCUACAUACGAAAUUACACGAAGAUGUUAAGGCCGUGGUUUAAAUGUUCUAUCAGAAAGGGACUGUGGCUCAAAAUAAAAUGACAAAAGUCAUGGUAAUGGUCGUGACAUUGACCGUGGCAGUGGCGAUGGCGAUGAAUUGCUAUGAAAAAUUGCGAGAUGGCAACCAGAUGAAUGCAACGUAUACACUAUAGAGGUUAAUAAUUGACCUAGUUAGUCGACUACUUGAUUAUCGGACUCAAAGAUAAACAAGAGAAAUAAGUUUUGGAAAUAUUGAAAUAAAUGCUUACAUGAGGAGAAUGAUCGAGAUUUAGAUCGUAAUUCAAAAUAAAGAGGUAUUGUGACAGCGAAAAAGUCUUUGAUAGAUUUAUUGAUU